UAGCAUAUCAAUAAGCGGAGGAAAAGAAACCAACCGGGAUUGCCUCAGUAACGGCGAGUGAAGCGGCAAGAGCUCAAAUUUGAAAUCUGGCCCCCUCGGGGUCCGAGUUGUAAUUUGCAGAGGAUGCUUCGGGUGCGGUCCCCAUCUAAGUGCCCUGGAACGGGCCGUCAUAGAGGGUGAGAAUCCCGUCUGGGAUGGGCGGCCGCGCCCGUGUGAAGCUCCUUCGACGAGUCGAGUUGUUUGGGAAUGCAGCUCUAAGCGGGUGGUAAAUUUCAUCUAAAGCUAAAUACUGGCCGGAGACCGAUAGCGCACAAGUAGAGUGAUCGAAAGAUGAAAAGCACUUUGAAAAGAGAGUUAAACAGCACGGUGAAAUUGUUGAAAGGGAAGCGUUGUCCACCAGACUCGCCCGGGGGGGCUCAGCCGGCACUUGUGCCGGUGUACUCCCCUCCGGGCGGGCCAGCGUCGGUUUGGGCGGCUGGUGAAAGGCCCCGGGAAUGUAACACCCUCCGGGGUGCCUUAUAGCCCGGGGUGCCAUACAGCCAGCCUGGACCGAGGCCCGCGCUUCGGCUAGGAUGCUGGCGUAAUGGUGGUCAACGGCCCGUCUUGAAACACGGACCAAGGAGUCUAACAUCUAUGCGAGUGUUCGGGUGUCAAACCCGUCCGCGCAGUGAAAGCGAACGGAGGUGGGAGCCCCUCGGGGUGCACCAUCGACCGAUCCUGAUGUCUUCGGAUGGAUUUGAGUAAGAGCGUAGCUGUUGGGACCCGAAAGAUGGUGAACUAUGCCUGAAUAGGGCGAAGCCAGAGGAAACUCUGGUGGAGGCUCGCAGCGGUUCUGACGUGCAAAUCGAUCGUCAAAUUUGGGUAUAGGGGCGAAAGACUAAUCGAACCAUCUGGUAGCUGGUUCCUGCCGAAGU
This 914-nucleotide ribosomal RNA is filed under the name Talaromyces primulinus. RNAcentral describes it as "LSU rRNA". It matches the Rfam family "Eukaryotic large subunit ribosomal RNA", at positions 36 to 967 of the family's 3401-position model. Lineage: Eukaryota; Fungi; Ascomycota; Eurotiomycetes; Eurotiales; Trichocomaceae. The record is from RNAcentral.